Leopardus geoffroyi (Geoffroy's cat) is the source of this 5060-nucleotide long non-coding RNA. RefSeq lists it as uncharacterized. The record is from RefSeq and is a predicted model, not a curated record. NCBI's taxonomy places the organism in Eukaryota, Metazoa, Chordata, Mammalia, Carnivora, Felidae. The transcript is spliced from 2 exons.
UCUCCCUCUUUCUCUGCUCCUCUCCCGCUCAUGCAUGCUCUCUCUCUCAAAAUAAAUAAAUAAACAUUAAAAAAGAUAAGUUUCUCUCAAAUGUCCACAAAUAGUGCUUUUGUUGCUUCUUACAUUCCUGUUUAAUUUUGUUUCACAAAUUAGAGACAGUAUUCAUACUACAGAGGAUUGGAAAUACAACCUCAAUUAAAUUUUAUUUCAAAAUUUAAUUUUUAUUUCAUAUUAAAGAGUUUUCUUAUGACAUAGUAUCUCAAGUCAUUUAAUAUUUAAAAGUAAAAAUACAUUCCUUAAUUAAUAAGCAAGCUGCAACACUUUCAACACAAAGGAAGGCACAUGGGGUGCCAGUGACACUGUGGUGUUCAAUUUGUAAAAGUGCAUCAACCUGUAACAUAUGCUUUUACAGGGACUGUAUAUAUAUUAGACAUAGAUACUAUAUACUAUAUAAGAUGGUUCAAUAAAAGGUUUUUUAAAAACUUGAUGUGUUUAUAAACAAAUCCCUUGUGUGGGUGUUUUGAGUUUUGAAGAGGAUAUUGUUGCUAUUGUUCUAUUUUGGUUUUUAUUUAUUUUUUUUUUUAAGGAUUUUAUUUUUACGUAAUCUUAUGCCCAACGUGGGGCUCAAACUCACACCCCCAAGAUCAAGAUUCGCACAUUCCACCAACUGAGCCAGCCAGGCACCCCUUGUUUUGUUUUUUUAGAUACGUUUAUUUUCUGAUUCUAAAUUUCUCUCUUCAGAUAUAAAGAAAACUUAUCUGGCUCCAUGGUUUUACUCAGCAAAUCAUCUCCAGAAAUGACAUACAGCAGUUCUGACACACUUCAUGGGUUACACAAUAAACCAUAACCGUGUUUUGGACCCUCUAGAUGGGCGUGUCCAAUAGAACGCUCUGCAAUGGUAGAAAUGGUCUAUUAUCUUCACUGUCCAGUACAAAAGCCACUAGCCAUAUGUAGCUACUGAACACUUAACAUUUAGAUAUGUAACUAAAAUACUCAAUUUUUAUAUUUAAAUUAAUUUAACCACAAGUGUCUACUAGCUAUUUUACUGGACAGUGCAGUUCUAGGUAACACCUAGCAUAUUCUGCUUUGCAGACAACAAGCUAUGCUUCAUUUUUGUUACUCAUAGAACAUUCUGAGGUACCUGACUCACAGUGACUACUACAGUCACAAGAAGCAAGGAUCUCUGGAUAUUUCUUCCCCACGUCUGAACACCAUCCUUCUGUUUUAUUAGUAUCAAAAGACUACAUUUAAUAAGUCUAUAAAUUUAAGACUAAAAUAAUUAAAACAAUCUAGAGAAACCACCAAAAUACUCCACUAAUUAUAGGCAAACAGGCUGCUGUAUGUACACAGAAAAUAGGAGACCUCUUUCACAUGGGGAAUUGAUACUUCAGGCCUGAAUAUGUUAAGUAAGGCUGUAAAUUACGAAGUCUAAGACUUUUCAGCAGUAAAACCAUGAGAUCAUGACCUGAGUCGAAGUCGGAUGCUCAAGCUACUGAGCCACCUAGGCGCCGCCCCGCAUUCUAAGAUUUUUAAUAUCUUAACAUGAAGACACUAAUUACUACUUUGUAUUUUGAAUUUUAAGUUCUGAUAGAAAUUUUAUCACCAUAGCAUAAGCCAGGAUUUUGAUCCUUUAACCCAAAUAUAAUUCAUGAGAAAUAAAAAUGUGAUUGGCAGAUCGCCUAGUAUUACCUCAGACAGCUAAAAACCUAAUUCAGAUAUUUUUCAAAAUAGAUUUUGGGAGAGGUUUAUGAUGAUCAGCCAUCCUAUAAUUCUACAUUUUUUCCAUCAAUAACUUAACUAUCUCAACACCAAAUGUCACCCAUAUAUGUUGCAAUACUACCUCAAAGUACAGGAGGGGUAAUCCUUAAUUUACCCUCUGGCUGAAAAAAGGUUAAACAUUAUUUCUUUUUUUUUUUUCCCCUUUUCUGUUUUUUUUUUUUUUUUAACUCCAGUAUAAAUAACAUACAAGUUAAACAUUUCUGAAGGAAGUUAGGAGAGUUUUCAACAUCAUUCUUUAAAAAAAGAAAAAAAAAAAACCUUUCACUCAAAUAGUCAUGUUUAGAGAGAAUGCGGAAAGUGUUACACUGUAAACUAAUAAGAAAAAUAAAAAGAAAAUAAUGCCAUCACCCAAAAAGACAACCACUGAUAAAUCAAUACACACACAAAAAUAUAUUUAUUUUUCAAGACGUAGGAUACCAUUUUGGGAUACCAUUUUGGUGGCUCAGUCAGUUAUGCAUCUGAUUCUUGAUUUCGGCUAAGGUCAUUGUCCCAGGGUCAUGGGAUUGAGCCCGUGUUGGGCUCCGUGUUGAGUAUGGAGCCUGCUUAAGAUUUUCAAUCUCUCUCUCUUGUUCUCGCUCCCUCUGCCCCCACCUCCCACUGCCCAUCUCCCCCACACUCUCUCUCACUCCCUCCAAAAUAAAAUUUAAAAAUUUUUAAAAAAGACCUAGGAUACCAUUUGUAAUUUACUUUUAUCAUUCAAUAUGAUCAUUUACCUAUGUCACUAAAUAUCAUUAAAAAUGAACAAUAACAGGGGCUCCUUGGUGGCUCAGUAGGUUAAGCAACUGACUUGAUUUUGGCUCAAGUCAUGAUCCCAGGGUUGUAGGAUCGAGCCCCACAUUGGGCUCCAUGCUGAGCGUGGAGCCUGAUUCUCUCUCUCUCUCCCUCUGCCCCUCUCUCCUGUUCACACUGUCUAAAAAUAAAACAAAAACAAAAGAAUGAAUAAUAAAAGAUACCUGCCUCAUAUUGACUACCUACUGUAUGCCAAGCACUAGACUUAGCAUUUGCCAUUAGUUCUUUCAUUCUCAUAAGAAUGCCUGUGAGUUUCUGUGCUCACUAUACUGAUGAACAAAGUGAAUACAAGUAUCUAAUGAUGUUUAGAGUCACAGGGCAAAUAAUCAGAAUAUACUUUUUUUUAAUUUACAAACUCAAAUUUAUAGAAGUCUUUUCAGGCAGAACCUACUGAUGUAGGAACCCUCUCCUCAAAUCAACAAGUACAUGUCUAUGAAAAAAAAGAAAGACUUUGGAGGUCCAAUAACUAAAUUAAAAUAAAGCAAACAGAUUUAAGGUGAAGCUGAAAAUCUUGAUUUUGAUGCAACAAGAAAGGAGAGUCUUAUGUUUGACUACUUUACUGGAACACAGAAGGUAAUUCAAACGACUGCAGCAGCACCAGAAGCUUUCAGAGAAAAGGUUCACGAAAUCCCCUUCAUAAUUAUAGGGUUGGCGCUUUCUCAUCUGUGACCACCUUUCUGAAUGUCCUGGUAUAUCCUUCCUUUGUACUUUCCUAAGAGAGGAAGAAAUCUCUCCGUGAAUGGAACAAUACCCUCGAUGCCAUGUGUCGUAAGGUUAUCUCUGCCUGUUGCCUGGUUUAAAGGCCACUGAGAAUGAUGCACGCCUGUUGGUGGGGUAGGAACACGGUCCUCCGAUCUGGCCAUAUUAUGCGGAAGCAAAUUAUAGGUAACCCUUAAUCUCCGUUCUGUGCCCCUCCCCUUGGCCUUUCACAAACAAGCACAUUCAUGUGCAGACAUGCAUAGGAGGAGGAACUUUUCUUCCCCCAAGACUAGGGGGGAAGAGCUCACUAGGAUACCCAAAGAAAGAGUCCUAAAGAGUAAUUAUUAGAAGUAAAAUUCAUUCUACAGUGGUCCUUUCUUAGAUCUCAUUCACGUAUACUAACUUAUUCAAGUAAAAAAAAUACCUUUGUUUCAAGGUCACUUCACCGCCAGAGCAAAGUCAUGGUCUGUAACAAAGCUGCAGAAUUUAUGAUCACAGUGGCUCCGGGUUAUCCCAUUUCACUAUCACCAGAUUCCUGUGUGAAAAGUACCACCAGUGCACCACCUUGACGAGCAAACAGAGGUAAUUUUAAAACAGUAAGUUGAUAUUACUUGUUACUAAUGACCUUUAUUCAAGAAUUGGCCAGGUCACUCCUUUUCUGAGCUCAUUAGAACUUUAAAAUCUGCAAGUAAUUGGACAGCAUCCUAGUGGCUCACCAGAAGCACUGAAACAGAGACAAAGAAUGGCUUCUCAUCUUCCCUAAAUUAACAAUAUUGACAUCUUAGGGUCUAGUAACUUCACAUUCAUAUAGAAAAUACACUCCCCUAAAGCCUUCUUGUCUGAAAAAGCGAACAAAGAAGAUAGCCAGCAGAAUGACAUUCAAAACAUUUAAUUGUUAUGUAAAAAUAAUAAUAUUGUCAUUGAUGAAAUAAUACUUAACAUUCAGUGGCCGUUUACUUUUGCAAGGUACCACCUCAGCAUGUUGCACACAUUAACUCAUUUAGUGUCCACAACAAUUGCCUACGCUACAUUUUACUGUCAACCCCUUUUUGCAGAUGAGCAAAUCAAGGCAUACUUGGCCAAUAAGUUACACAGCUAAUGAAAGUCACAGCCAGGAUCUGAACCCAGAGAGCCUGUCUAGGGCUCACAGUCUUCUGCCAAAAUGCCCAUGCUAUCAUGCCACCUAGACUCCAAAGGCUUCCUUUGUAUUUUCCAUUUAAUGAGUUAAAGCUAAGUUUCCAAGCCACUCUCACUUAUCUUCAAUCUAUGAAAUAGAAUUUGAGAACUCAUGGAACGGUUGUGAGAAUUCCAUGAGUUAGCACACACAAAGCACUUAUUACGGCACAUAAUGAACAUACUAUAAACACUGACUAAUACUAUUACUAGUCUCUUUUUUUCACGACUUUCUCUCGGAUGUCUUUGAUGUUUGCAUAUCCAUUCAUUCAGUCAACAGGCAUAUAAUUCCUCCCAUGUGACAGUCUCUACGGGAAGCACUGAAGAACCACAGAUAAUACAUGCUUUCAGAGUUCUCACAGCUUGGCUGAGGAAUCCAGUUCACACACCCCCACGUACUGUGUCAUGUGACAAGUGCUAUCAUAUAGGAGUGCUAUGAGAGCACAGGGGUGCUGCUGAGUCAUAUCGUGACAUACCUUUUCAUCAGGCAAAGAAGGGGUGAUGUAAUAAUCCAUUAGAACUAGAGCACAGGGGACAAAAGAAAUGGACCCGUAAGGGAAAUUUUCCAUUAAAAGACUAUUAAAAAGGUUUGGUGAGAAGAGGUAAAAUAAGUAAAAGUC